CAAUAGCAUAUAUUAACGUUGUUGCAGUUGAAAAGCUCGUAGUUGAACUUUUGGUAGGAGCGACCUGGCCUUGGGCGCAUGCCCUUGUUUGCCGUGUGUCGUGUCUGGCCAUCCUUUUCUUCGUUUUUCGGAGGAAUCUUUUACUGUGAGUAAACUGGAGUGCUCAAAACAAGACGUUUGUUUGGUACAUUAAAGCAUGGAAUAAUAAGAUAGGACCUGGUUACUAUUUUGUUGGUUUGCAUAGCUAGGUAAUGAUUAACAGGGACAGUUGGGGGUAUUCGUAUUUAAUUGUCAGAGGUGAAAUUCUUGGAUUUAUGAAAGACGAACGACUGCGAAAGCAUUUACCAAGGAUGUUUUCAUUAA
This 363-nucleotide ribosomal RNA is filed under the name uncultured eukaryote. RNAcentral's name for it is "partial 18S ribosomal RNA". It matches the Rfam family "Eukaryotic small subunit ribosomal RNA", at positions 592 to 976 of the family's 1831-position model. The record is from RNAcentral.